ACGCGUCGAGCCUGCGCUGGCACACCUC
RNAcentral lists this small RNA (28 nucleotides) under Bombyx mori (domestic silkworm). RNAcentral's name for it is "ovarian small RNA-11528". The record is from RNAcentral. Lineage: Eukaryota; Metazoa; Arthropoda; Insecta; Lepidoptera; Bombycidae.